CGGAUUCUCAGCCUCUCCAGUGUGUUGCAGCCAUUGUUGGACUACUCGGACUCUAUCCUAUCCAGUCUAGCUGGACAGAAGGCAUCAAGGAAUUCUGCUGUCUUUGCCGGAGCAGUGGGAUUGGACCCUGGCUACUGGGCCCUGCUUUAUGUGGGUUCUGGGGCAGAUCUGCACACAAGCAUGGCAAGCACUUUGCACCUGGAGCCAUCUCGGCCCGUUCUUUCCCUCAUUACCCCUUUCUUCCUUUCUGGUUUAUUUAUUAAUUCCUCAAGUGAGCCCGAGUUCAUUAGAGCUUUCCUUUGCUUCUAAUACAGCAUUUUAAGACUCUUAAGUUUCCUUGAGGUCUGACUUGACCUGCCUCACACAACUUUUGAUAUUUCUUUUUCAUUAUUUCUUAGUUCUAAGAGUGUGCUUAUUCCUGUUAUGGUUUGGUUUAGCUUUUGUUUUUUUGAGACGGGCUCACGUGGCCCAGGCUGGUCUUGAACUCACUACAUAGCAAUGGUGACCUCGAACUCCUAACCUCCUGCUUGUUUCCCAACACCCAACUCCAUUACAACAUUUCAAAAGA
Nannospalax galili (Upper Galilee mountains blind mole rat) is the source of this 568-nucleotide long non-coding RNA. RefSeq lists it as uncharacterized. Lineage: Eukaryota; Metazoa; Chordata; Mammalia; Rodentia; Spalacidae. The record is from RefSeq and is a predicted model, not a curated record. The transcript has 2 exons.